GACGAACGCUGGCGGCGUGCCUAAUACAUGCAAGUUGAGCGCUGAAGGUUGGUACUUGUACCGACUGGAUGAGCAGCGCACGGGUGAGUAACGCGUGGGGAAUCUGCCUUUGAGCGGGGGACAACAUUUGGAAACGAAUGCUAAUACCGCAUAAAAACUUUAAACACAAGUUUUAAGUUUGAAAGAUGCAAUUGCAUCACUCAAAGAUGAUCCCGCGUUGUAUUAGCUAGUUGGUGAGGUAAAGGCUCACCAAGGCGAUGAUACAUAGCCGACCUGAGAGGGUGAUCGGCCACAUUGGGACUGAGACACGGCCCAAACUCCUACGGGAGGCAGCAGUAGGGAAUCUUCGGCAAUGGACGAAAGUCUGACCGAGCAACGCCGCGUGAGUGAAGAAGGUUUUCGGAUCGUAAAACUCUGUUGGUAGAGAAGAACGUUGGUGAGAGUGGAAAGCUCAUCAAGUGACGGUAACUACACAGAAAGGGACGGCUAACUACGUG
RNAcentral lists this ribosomal RNA (497 nucleotides) under uncultured bacterium. RNAcentral's name for it is "partial 16S ribosomal RNA". It matches the Rfam family "Bacterial small subunit ribosomal RNA", at positions 28 to 507 of the family's 1533-position model. The record is from RNAcentral.